GCAUAUCAAUAAGCGGAGGAAAAGAAACUAACUAGGAUGCCUUCAGUAGCGGCGAGCGAAGCAGGCAUAGCUCAAAUUUGUAAUCUGGCUGUUUUACAGUCCGAGUUGUAACUUCUAGAGGCGAGUUCGGUGGCAGCCCUGGUUCAAGUCCGCUGGAACGCGGCGUCAUGGAGGGUGAGAAUCCCGUGAAUGAUCAGGUGUCUGUUGCUAUGUGAACCGUUUUCGAAGAGUCGAGUUGUUUGGGAAUGCAGCUCUAAAUGGGAGGUAAAUUUCUUCUAAAGCUAAAUAUUGGCCAGAGACCGAUAGCGAACAAGUAGAGUGAUCGAAAGAUGAAAAGAACUUUGAAAAGAGAGUUAAACAGUACGUGAAAUUGUUGAAAGGGAAGCGCUUGAGAUCAGACUUCCUGCGCAGACUAUCCUUGCUUCUGCUUGGGUCAAUAGUCUGUGCGUGGAGGCCAGCAUCAGUUUUGACGGUCGGAUAAAGGUUUGGGGAAGGUGGCUCACCUCGGUGAGUGUUAUAGCCCCAGAUGCAAUACGGCCAGUUGGGACUGAGGACCGCGGCUUUGCCUAGGAUGCUGGCGUAAUGGUCUUAAGCGACCCGUCUUGAAACACGGACC
Molecule: ribosomal RNA, 616 nt
Filed under: Protomyces inouyei
Lineage: Eukaryota; Fungi; Ascomycota; Taphrinomycetes; Taphrinales; Protomycetaceae
Description: eukaryotic LSU rRNA
Rfam family: Eukaryotic large subunit ribosomal RNA
Source: RNAcentral